UUCUCCUUUCUGGCUCAGAAGGACAGCCCCAAGGCAGAGGCAUUAGGGUUUAACAAGGAUCUUUGUUAAACAAAGGGACUCCAGCUGUGAGUCAGCAAACCCUAGCAAAAAGCAUUUGCAAAUGAAAGUGUUUUUUUUUUCUUCUAACUCGGUCGGACAAAGCUAGCUAGGAAGUGUUAGAGGGACUGUGUUGCCAAGCAACCCUGAGCUGCAGCAUUUCAGGCACUGAACAGCAGAGGGGGCAACCAGCCUAAGAAAGCAGGUACAAUGAGUUCCAAGGAACAGGCAAGACUGGAUGCAGAGGGACAAAUCAAAGAAGCAGAUCACAAGCGAGGCAUUGAAGAAAACAAAAAGAAAUAGAAAUAAAAGAAAAGGAGAUAGAACUGAGAGAAAAGGAGGUGGAGAUAAGGGAAAGAAGAACACACCAAAGAGGCGGCCCACAAACAAGAGAUGGAAAAGCAACAGAGUGAAGAGAGGGAAAAACAGAGAAAGCAUGAACUGGAAUUAGCACAGGCUAAGCAGAAUGAUACAGCCAACCCUAACAACCCUUCUCCAGUUAUUGUUCCACAUCCCAAGAAAUUUCCCACUUACAAGACAGGUGAUGACACUGAGGCCUUCUUAGAAAAUUUUGGGUACAGCAUCUCUGAAGACCAGUACAUGAUAGAGCUGAGGCCACAGCUCAGUGGACCCUUAGCAGAGGUGGCGGCUGAAAUGCCUAAGGAACACAUGAACGAUUAUAAACUUUUUCAAACCAAGGCCAGAAUCAGAAUGGGGCUAACACCUGAGCAUCCCUGUCGGAGGUUCAGAGCCCUAAGGUGGAAACCAGAUGUGUCAUUCACUCGACACGCCUACCACAUUGGAAAGAAUUAUGAUGCCUGGAUAUCAGGAGCCAAUGUUAAAUCUCUGGACGAGAUGCACCUCCUAAUACAAUUGGAGCAGUUCUUAGAGGGUGUCCCUGAGGAAAUAGAAAGGUACAUCCUAGAUGGAAAGCCCAAAAUGGUAACCGAAGCAGGGGAGAUUGGAGCCUGAUGGGUGGAAGUGGCAGAAAAGAAAAAAGCUACUGUCAAGGGGAGCGAAUAUCACGGGGGCACACUGACAAUAAACCCUAUAUCCGAGGGCAACCCAAGACCCCACCUACAACCCAAGGAAAGCCCCAGACUCCCUAUUCUCCCACCUCACCAGUCUCUAGUAAUCCACCUCGGCACAGUGACCAGUCAGCUGGGAGAUGCUUUAAAUGUAAUGAACUGGGACAUAUAAAGGCCAACUGCCCAAAGAACCCCAACCGAGUGCAGUUUAUUACACCACCAUCACACCAAAGAUCCCCCGGCCCAGAUGCCUCUCAAAUACUCUCGGAGCGAAGGGAAAUUUUGAGAGUGGGCAGAAAGAAGGUUAUCACGUGGAGAGACACAGGGGCACAAGUGUCAGCUAUCCACCAAUCCUUCGUCGACCCCAAAUUCAUCAACCCAAAGGCCCAAGUGACAAUUUACCCCUUCAUGUCAAAAGCUGUAGACUUACCUACAGCUGAACUGCCUGUCCAGUACAAAGGCUGGUCAGGAAUGUGGACUUUUGCAGUCUAUGACAAUUAUUCCAUCCCCAUGCUACUGGGGGAAGACUUGGCCAACCAGGUAAAGCGGGCCAAGAGGGUGGGAAUGGUUACACGCAGCCAAGCCAGGCAAGCUUCCAGACCCAUCCCUGUUCCUGAACCAUCCACAAAGACCCCGUCUGUGUUACCAGAGACCCAGACAGAGGUGGUGGACCCUGAUCCCCUGCCAACAACGGCAACAGCCACAGUGCCUCCAGUCCCAGACCCAGAACUGGAAAAGCAACCAGCACCAGAACCGUUGCCAGCACUGAUGCCAGCGCUUGCAAACCCAUCUCCAACCCCAACGCCAGAGGGCACCAGCGGGCCUGAACUGGCAGAAGCAGCAGACAACCCUACCCAAGAGGCUCAGCCAGAGCCUGAAAUAGCGCAUAGUGCACCAGCGGAAAGCGGUUCACCAUCAACGAAAACAACCCCAUCACCUACAUCGCUUCCAGACGGACCAAGGCCAAGUCCACAGUCUAAGGAGGAACUGGUGUCUCCAGCCUCGAGGGAACAGUUCCAGACUGAGCAGGAAGCAGAUGACAGCUUUCAGAAAGCUUGGGCAGCAGCACGGAGCAUCCCACCGCCUCUUAGCUCUUCUAAUCGAUCCUGGUUUGUUGUAGAACAAGGACUUUUAUACAAAGAGACUCUUUCUGGUGGACACCAGGAAGACUGGCAUCCGCAAAAACAGUUGGUAGUUCCAACUAAGUACAGGGGGAAGCUCUUAAGCUUAGCCCAUUAUCACCCCAGUGGCCCAUGCUGGGGUGAACAGAACCAAAGACAGGUUGGGGAAGUCCUUCCACUGGGAGGGGAUGGGCAAGGACGUUGCCAAGUAUGUCCAGUCUUGUGAGGUGUGCUAAAGAGUGUGAAAGCCCCAAGAUCAGGUCAAGGCCCCUCUCCAGCCACUCCCCAUAAUUGAGGUCCCAUUUCAGCGAGUAGCUGUGGAUAUCUUGGGUCCUUUUCCAAAAAAGACCCCCAGAGGAAAGCAGUACAUACUGACUUUCAUGGACUUUGCUACCCAAUGGCCGGAAGCAGUAGCUCUAAGCAACACCAGGGCUAACACUGUAUGCCUGGCUCUAACAGACAUUUUUGCCAGGGUAGGCUGGCCCUCCAACAUCCUUACAAAUUCAGGAUCUAAUUUCCUGGCAGGAACCAUGAAAGAUCUGUGGGAAACUCAUGGGGUGAAUCACUUGGUUGCCACCCCUUACCACCAUCAAACCAAUGGCCUGGUGGAGAGGUUUAAUGGAACUUUGGGGGCCAUGAUACAUAAAUUCAUCAAUGAACACUCUAAUGACUGGGACCUAGUGUUGCAGCAGUUGCUGUUUGCCUACAGGGCUGUACCACAUCCCAGUUUAGGGUUUUCACCAUUUGAACUUGUGUAUGGCCACAAGGUUGAGGGGCCAUGACAGUUGGUGAAGCAGCAAUGGGAGGGGUUUACGCCUUCUCCAGGAACUAACAUUCUAGACUUUGUAAGCAACCUACAAAGCACCCUCCGACACUCUUUAGCCCUUGCUAAAGAAAACCUAAAGGAUGCUCAGAAAGAGCAAAAUGCCUGGUAUGAUAGAUAUACCAGAGAGCGUUCCUUCAAAGUAGGAGACUAGGUUAUGGUCUUGAAGGCGCAACAGGCCCAUAAGAUGGAAUCAUCAUGGGAAGGGCCAUUCACGGUCCAAGAGCGCCUGGGAGCUGUUAACUACCUCAUAGCAUUUCCCAAUUCCUCCCUAAAGCCCAGAGUGUACCAUGUUAAUUCUCUCAAGCCCUUUUAUUCCAGAGACUUAAAGGUUUGUCAGUUUACAGCCCAGGGAGGAGAUGACGCUGAGUGGCCUGAAGGUGUCCACUACGAAGGAAAAAGUGACAGUGGCGUGGAAGAGGUGAACCUCUCCACUACCCUGGAAUGUCUGCAGUGGCAACAGAUCAGGGAACUGUGCACUAGCUUCACCCCAUUGUUCUCAGCCACCCCAGGACGGACUGAACGGGCAUACCACUCCAUUGACACAGGUAAUGCUCACCCAAUUAGAACCCCACCCUACCAGGUAUCUCCUCAUGCCCAAGCUGCUAUAGAAUGGGAGAUCCAAAACAUGCUACAGAUCGGUAUAAUCCACUCAUCUACUAGUGCAUGGGCAUCCCCAGUGGUUCUGGUACCCAAACCAGAUGGGGAUAUAUGCUUUUGCGUGGACUACCGUAAGCUAAAUGCGGUAACUCGUCCAGACAACUAUCCAAUGCCACGCACCGAUGAGCUAUUGGAGAAGUUGGGAUGUGCCCAGUUCAUCUCUACAAUAGACUUAACCAAGGGGUACUGGCAAGUACUGCUAGAUGAACCUGCCAAGGAAAGGUCAACAUUCAUCCCCCACGCAGGGGUGUAUGAAUUUAAUGUGCUUCCUUUCGGGCUGCGAAAUGCACCCGCUACCUUCCAAAGACUUGUAGAUGGUCUCCUAGCAGGUUUGAGAGAAUAUGCAGUUGCCUACCUCGAUGAUGUGGCCAUUUUUUCUGAUUCAUGGCCCGAACACCUAGAACACCUGGAAAAAGUCUUCAAAUGCAUCAGGCAGGCAGGACUAACUGUUAAGGACAAAAAGUGUCAAAUAGGCCAAAACAGAAUGACUUACCUGGGAUACCAGGUGGGUCGAGGAACCAUAAACCCCCUACAGGCCAAGGUGGAUGCUAUCCAAAAGUGGCCUGUCCCAAGGUCAAAGAAACAGGUCCAAUCCUUCUUAGGCUUGGCCAGAUACUACAGGCGAUUUGUACCACACUACAGCCAAAUCGCUGCCCCACUGACCGACCUGACCAA
RNA transcript from Gopherus flavomarginatus (Mexican gopher tortoise), 4364 nucleotides. It is a transcript of the gene named ribosomal biogenesis factor, with no coding region annotated. The record is from RefSeq and is a predicted model, not a curated record. NCBI's taxonomy places the organism in Eukaryota, Metazoa, Chordata, Testudines, Testudinidae. The transcript is spliced from 2 exons.